UACAAAGAUAGGACCUCGCUGCU
Molecule: non-coding RNA, 23 nt
Filed under: Mus musculus (house mouse)
Lineage: Eukaryota; Metazoa; Chordata; Mammalia; Rodentia; Muridae
Source: RNAcentral